AUGAAGAAGUUAUUCUGGUUGCAGUACCUUGCGCCGGAACUUCCCGUGGCCUUGAGCGACCAGCUGAAGCAGUUGUCCGAGCUGCACAGGGUGGCCGGACUAGCCAUGAAGUAUGUUAUAAUCCGCUUGUGGCCGGCCGAUCACAUCCCUAAUAGUCACUUUGGCCUCGUGCAGAGGCUAGUGGAGGCGCUUCCUCGGAUCGAUGCCCUCAGGCGGUCGUCCUGCAUCGAAGGUGCCCGAAUGGCCUUUGCCCGUGUCAAGGUGCAGUGGGCAAAGAUGAAGGCCGUCAAAAUUGCUACCUCAGGGCCGCCUGAAGGGAAAGAGCACCGGCGGCCGGAGAAGUACUUUGACGAGGUCCUUGAGGGAGCCCGCAUUGUGGAGGGGCAGUGUUCGAAGGAUGCCAUCUUUGAGUAG
This 414-nucleotide ribosomal RNA is filed under the name Triticum aestivum (bread wheat). RNAcentral describes it as "partial small subunit ribosomal RNA". Lineage: Eukaryota; Viridiplantae; Streptophyta; Magnoliopsida; Poales; Poaceae. The record is from RNAcentral.